UACGUAGGGUGCAGGCGUUAAUCGGAAUUACUGGGCGUAAAGCGUGCGCAGGCGGUUUGCUAAGACAGGUGUGAAAUCCCCGGGCUUAACCUGGGGACUGCGCUUGUAACUGGCAAGCUGGAGUGUGGCAGAGGGGGGUGGAAUUCCACGUGUAGCAGUGAAAUGCGUAGAGGUGUGGAGGAACACCGAUGGCGAAGGCAGCCCCCUGGGCUAACACUGACGCUCAUGCACGAAAGCGUGGGGAGCAAACAGG
RNAcentral lists this ribosomal RNA (253 nucleotides) under uncultured bacterium. RNAcentral describes it as "partial 16S ribosomal RNA". It matches the Rfam family "Bacterial small subunit ribosomal RNA", at positions 524 to 776 of the family's 1533-position model. The record is from RNAcentral.